RNAcentral lists this long non-coding RNA (3783 nucleotides) under Marmota monax (woodchuck). Lineage: Eukaryota; Metazoa; Chordata; Mammalia; Rodentia; Sciuridae. The record is from RNAcentral.
CUCUUCCAAGGGCAUUCCUAACAAGGCCGACCGCGUCCUGGGCACUCACCAGGGCCUGCGGGGCUGUUCUCAGAACCGACAGUGUCUUGUUCAGAGUCACAGUGCUAUGAGAAGCUGGUCCCGUUUGAUCAGGAGACCGUCACUCGCUGUCUUCCCACGUCAGCUUGCAGAUGGAGGUCACACUGGAAUGUCCCGUCCAUGGGCUGACCAGAGACAGCUCGGCCCUCACAGGUGUCGCCUGGAAACCCUGCACACCUGGGCCUGCCCUCCUGGAGCCUGGAGCCCACCCCACUUUGUCAGGUGAGGCCUGUUUCCUGGAGGAGUGUGUCGGGGCCAGGGAAGCAGGCGGAGCAGAGCUGCUUCUCUUCAGUUACCUCCGAGACCUGUUUGGGCUGAACCAGCUCCUCCGUCUGGAGGUUCGAAUAGCUGCUGACCAGCGCAGGGCUGAGGAGCUUGCCGCAGGUGGCUCUUCUGACCGGGAAGGCUGUGUGGGUUCCUGCCUGCUGGGCCAUCCCAGGAGCUCUGCUUCCUCUUCCCUCAGCCCUGGUUUCCCACUGGCCGUGUUCCUCAAAUGCAGAGUGGUGUGUUCAAAGGUAGGCAGAGAGAGAUUUCAGCCUGAUGAAGACGAGCACGCGUGUCCCCUCCAGGGCACCUCAGAACUCAGUAUCCUGCAGCUGUCCAACAGAAAACCUACACUAGUCCAUAUUUUCUCAUCCUCCGCUUAUUGGCAUCCACCCUCAGCCUGGCCUAACAUCAUGACCCUCAUGACCCCUAACAUCAUGACCCCUCUUCCAUGGGGGCCAAGUUUCUGAAAAGCUGCGGUAUGGUUUUGUCUCCGCCGUCUUGGGUGAGCAGUCUGGGCCAAACGGCAAUGUGUCUUGGCAGCAAAGAGGGCAGAGUCCAACCAGCAGCUUUGUCUCAAGGCUUGGCGUGUCCACAAUCGAGGCUCUGACCCCUGGACCGUGGAUGUCCUCUUGUAAGAAAGGGUGUUAUUCACAUUGACAAAGUGGGCUCCCCAGACCAGCAGCAGCAAGCCAGAAACUUGUUAGAAACGCAGAGUGUUGGGCCUCACCCCAGAAUUUGCACCAGACCCUGGAGGUGCGGGUGGCCAUCCUGUCUAGAAUCCUCCCAGGCGAACCGCACAGGAGGUUCCUCGAGGAGGAUGGGGUUCUGCCCGCGUCUUGGCUGGUGACACUGCAGCCCUUGCUGAAAGGCCUGGGAGCACCGAGGACACCACAGACUCCCACAGCUGGGCGGUGGCCAAGCCACAGUCACCAGGAGACGAGCCUUACACCACCCUACAGAGCUCCUGCCUUCCCUUGAGAAAUACUGACAUUUUAACAUGGGCUCCUUCUCACGAAAUCCACUUAGCACAGUGAGAAGCCCUGUUGAAGACGCAGGGGACAGCGACAGGGCAGGGCGGUCUGGACGGCAGCGUUGAUGCCAUGGAACAGCCCACGGGUUGAAGGUUUUAAAAGCCGGAGUCUUCGCGGCUCAGGUUUUCCCGCUAUCCACGACUGUAGCCGAAGCUCCUUUGGAACGGUCUUGUCCAGGGACUCGCCUUCCCUUCACAGACUUGCUUCUCGAGCACAGUUUAAAAUCCCCGAUGCCACCGGAAAUUAUGGACUUGAUGCGCUGGUAGUUUCCGUCCACCUUUCAGGCUGACCCCCAAGGACCCACCUGGAGACUCGUGGCCUUCACUGUUUCCCCGGGGCUUUGGGCCUCGUGGUCUUCUUCCCUCAUUGGCUAGCUCCCACGGAGCCCUGGUUAUAUUAGUUUUCUUCAACCUGGACUUGGGUCCUGGCGUCUGUGUGCUAUCUGACAGCAUAACCUUGCUUGCAGAAACACAACCUGAGCCGCUGUCCGCAGGGACAGGGGAGGUAAGGACAGUCUGCUCCCUGGCGGGGGAGACUUGCAACAUGGACUCUAUCUGUGCAGGAGAUCGGAGCUCCUGAGCCAUCAAGCCCAGGGGCAGACGCCAGCAGGUCAGUGUGGGCCACAGGGUCAGUGUUGCUCACUGGCCCUGAGCACAGAGGUAACUCCAGCUCUGGUCAGUCCCCUCUGUGCCUGUGUCUCCAGUCCCUGGCCACUCCAUGCCAUCGAGCAAGGUGAGAAAAUGGGGCCUCUCUUGGCAGACCCCCGGGGACCACCCAGGUAGCUGGCCCUUCCUUCCGCCCAGCAGCCCUCCAGGUGUGGAAGAGUAGAUGAGCCACUCCAGUGUCACACCUGUCCUGGUGGCAUCGCUUCUCAACACAGCUGCACAGCAGGAUUUGGUGCCACUUGACCGGCCCCCGCUAACUGGUGCUCCAUCUGCAGCAGGGGCUCUCAAAGCACCAUCCGCUGGAACAUGAGAGAAAGGAAAGGUCCCGACCCCCCUGCAGAUGGCACCUUGGAGAGCAGCGAGCUAGUGGAUUCAGCUCUCUGUUCUGCGGCUGACUGGAUGCACCCUGGAAGGGCUGGUGAAACUGGGGUUUCACGAUGAAACUUGAUUCUUUGCUUCACUGGCAAGUGAGUCGGGUGCUUCUCAGGUGAGACUGGAGCUUCUCAGGUGAGGUUGGAGCUUCUCAGGUGAGACUGGAGCUUUUCAGGUGAGACUGGAGCUUCUCAGGUGAGGUUGGAGCUUCUCAGGUGAGACUGGAGCUUUUCAGGUGAGACUGGAGCUUCUCAGGUGAGUUUGGAGCUUCUCAGGUGAGACUGGAGCUUUUCAGGUGAGAUUGGAGCUUCUCAGGUGAGACUGGAGCUUCUCAGGUGAGGCUGGAGCUUUUCAGGUGAGGUUGAAGCUUCUCAGGUGAGGUUGAAGCUUCUCAGGUGAGAUUGGAGCUUCUCAGGUGAGACUGGAGCUUCUCAGGUGAGACUGGAGCUUCUCAGGUGAGGUUGGAGCUUCUCAGGUGAGAUUGGAGCUUUUCAGGUGAGGCUAAAGCUUUUCAGGUGAGAUUGGAGCUUCUCAGGUGAGGUUGGAACUUCUCAGGUGAGACUGGAGCUUCUCAGGUGAGAUUGGAGCUUCUCAGGUGAGACUGGAGCUUCACAGGUGAGGUUGGAGCUUCUCCACUUCUGCAGGUUGGAGGGGCGCUGUGUUAACUAAGGCACCAGAUGGCCUCAAGUGUCUUUCCUAGCCAAAAAGGAAUCAAACUAGAAGCCAAUGAUAAGAAAAUGAUACAAUUCACAAAUACAUGCUAAACAAUACACUGUUGAGUAACCACUGGAUCAAAGAGGAAAUCAAAGCCAAUUUUAAAAUGUUUCAUAACCAAUGAAAACAAAAAUACAACAUAUCAAAGCUCAUGAGAAUUAGCAAAAUUCAUUCUACAUGGCUACAUUAAAAAAGGGAGAAAUAGCUCAAAUAAAUAACCAAACUUUGACUGCCAAGAGCUAGGAAAAGAAGAACAGACUGAGCCCAGCAUUAGCACACAGAAAGGGAAAGAUGGAUCAGAGCAGAGAUGAACCAAAUGGGGUUAGGAAAGCAAGGGAAAGUCGAGGAGACUAAGAGUGUAGAACCAAAUCAACACAGCCUCAGCUACACCCAUUAAGAAAAAAAGAAGUGAAACUCACGUAAACAAAUCAGAAAUGACAGAGGAGACAAUUCGACAAAUAUUUCAGGAAUAGACAGAAGCACAGGGGACUGUUGGGAAGCCACACAGGACAAUUGUGUAGAGGAGCCUCAUGUGGGUGGAUUCCUGGAAACUUAGAACCUAUGAGAGCCAAACAGGAAAGAACAGAAAGUUCCGGGGGUGUGGCCAGUGGUGGAGCCCUUGCCUAGCAUGUGUGAGGCCUGGGCUCCAUGUCCAG